GUGUAUUUCCCUAGAGUUUUUCACUGUAAUCUGUGUGGUUGAGAACUGUAGUUAAAGUAUGACAUGCAUGGCUUACAGUCUCAUGUUUUGUCCAUGCGUUUAAUAUUCAGUUGUCUGGUUUGUGGUUUUGUAGCUUCUAGAUCUAGGUCUGGGGAUUGUUGGUUAUAGUGUUUGUGUUGGUUCUGCUCCAUUUGCCUAAUGAUUUUUGCCUUUGUAAGUUUAGGUUUGGUUCAAUGCAGAAAGUUUCUCACAAGGAUGUACCACUAGUCUCUUCUCUUGAGAGUGCAGAUUCUCUGAAUGAUCUGUUUGUGCCUAAUGAUCUUGCAGAUGAUGGUUCUAAUCCUAUGUCUUUGGAAAUCUCUAGUGAUGAUGGAGGGCUUGACAAUCUCAAGUGUGGUCCAGGGAAGCUGCUGGGAGGGAUUGCGUGGGGUUCUCUUGCUCUUUUGGUUUAGUUGACAACCGGGUCUUCUUUUUUUUAAGUCCAACCCGUUUAGUGGGAACGAACAGUAUCAGUGGUUUUGGGCAAUACAGAUGUCAACCGGACAUUGGUCAGAAAAUUUGAAUGAUAUCCAAUAGGAAAUCAGUCAAA
Molecule: long non-coding RNA, 589 nt
Organism: Triticum dicoccoides
Lineage: Eukaryota; Viridiplantae; Streptophyta; Magnoliopsida; Poales; Poaceae
Exons: 3
Source: RefSeq, a predicted model, not a curated record